This 655-nucleotide long non-coding RNA is filed under the name Daucus carota (carrot). RNAcentral describes it as "long non-coding RNA (DCAR_LNC002824)". The record is from RNAcentral. Lineage: Eukaryota; Viridiplantae; Streptophyta; Magnoliopsida; Apiales; Apiaceae.
CAAACAUAAUACUAACAGAAAAUUUAUUAUUAUUUUGAUAAAAAAUAAUUUGGGCCGCCCUCCCCUCAAACACAAUACUAAUAAAGGAUCUUUUUUAUAAAUUUUGAUACGAAAUAAUAUUAUAAUUGCAUAAAAGUUAUUUUGAAUCGUGUUCCCGUUAAACAUAUCAUUAAUAAAAAAAUAUUAUAAUUAAUAUAAAAAUUUGUUUAAGUGUCCCUUUUGUCGAACACAAUACUAAUAAAAAAAUUGUUUGACCCGCCCUCCUAUCAAGGACAAUAUUAAUCAAUAAUUAUUAUAAUUAUGAUAAAAUUAAAUAUAAUUAUAUAGAUAAAAAUUAGUUUGAGCCGCUCACUUGUCGAACACAAUGCUAAUAACAAAACAUUAUAAUAUAGAUAUUAGUUGGUGUCGCCCUACCGUCAAACACAAUACUAAUAAAAAUUAUGAUAAAGUUAAAGAUUAUAAUUGGAUAAAAAUUAUUUUAAGUUGUGGUCUGUUUGAAUAAAAAAGAUAUUAUAACUUAGAUAAAAAAAUUAUUUUAGCUGUUUUCCCGUCAAACAUAAUACUAAUUGGAAAUUUAUUAUUAUUUAGAUAAAAAUUAAUUUGGGCCGCCCUCCCCUGAAAUACAAUACUAAUCAAGAAUCAUUUACAUUAUGAC